RNAcentral lists this transfer RNA (26 nucleotides) under Agama agama (Red-headed rock agama). RNAcentral's name for it is "partial tRNA-Leu". The record is from RNAcentral. Lineage: Eukaryota; Metazoa; Chordata; Lepidosauria; Squamata; Agamidae.
ACUUUUAAUGGACAAAAGUGAUCCAA